GACGAACGCUGGCGGCGUGCCUAAUACAUGCAAGUCGAGCGAAGUUUUUCUGGUGCUUGCACCGGAAAAACUUAGCGGCGAACGGGUGAGUAACACGUAAAGAACCUGCCUCAUAGACUGGGACAACUAUUGGAAACGAUAGCUAAUACCGGAUAAUAGCAUUAACUGCAUGGUUGAUGUUUAAAAGUUGGUUUUGCUAACACUAUGAGAUGGCUUUGCGGUGCAUUAGCUAGUUGGUGGGGUAAAGGCCUACCAAGGCGACGAUGCAUAGCCGAUCUGAGAGGGUGAUCGGCCACACUGGGACUGAGACACGGCCCAGACUCCUACGGGAGGCAGCAGUAGGGAAUCUUCCGCAAUGGGCGAAAGCCUGACGGAGCAACGCCGCGUGAGUGAAGAAGGAUUUCGGUUCGUAAAGCUCUGUUGUUAGGGAAGAAUGAUUGUGUAGUAACUAUACACAGUAGAGACGGUACCUAACCAGAAAGCCACGGCUAACUACGUG
This 499-nucleotide ribosomal RNA is filed under the name uncultured bacterium. RNAcentral's name for it is "partial 16S ribosomal RNA". It matches the Rfam family "Bacterial small subunit ribosomal RNA", at positions 28 to 507 of the family's 1533-position model. The record is from RNAcentral.